RNAcentral lists this ribosomal RNA (445 nucleotides) under uncultured bacterium. RNAcentral describes it as "partial 16S ribosomal RNA". It matches the Rfam family "Bacterial small subunit ribosomal RNA", at positions 354 to 796 of the family's 1533-position model. The record is from RNAcentral.
GUGGGGAAUAUUGGGCAAUGGGCGAAAGCCUGAUCCAGCCAUGCCGCGUGCAGGAAGACGCAUCUAUGGUGUGUAAACUGCUUUUGUACGGGAAGAAACACUCCCUCGUGAGGGAGCUUGACGGUACCGUAAGAAUAAGGAUCGGCUAACUCCGUGCCAGCAGCCGCGGUAAUACGGAGGAUCCAAGCGUUAUCCGGAAUCAUUGGGUUUAAAGGGUCCGUAGGCGGUUUAAUAAGUCAGUGGUGAAAGCCCAUCGCUCAACGAUGGAACGGCCAUUGAUACUGUUAGACUUGAAUUACAAGGAAGUAACUAGAAUAUGUAGUGUAGCGGUGAAAUGCUUAGAUAUUACAUGGAAUACCAAUUGCGAAGGCAGGUUACUACUUGUGGAUUGACGCUGAUGGACGAAAGCGUGGGGAGCGAACAGGAUUAGAUACCCCGGUAGUCC